GCACCAAUGGUCUGGCGGUAGAAUAGAACCGUGCCAUGGUACAGACCCCGGAUCGAUUUCCGGCUGGUGCA
RNAcentral lists this transfer RNA (71 nucleotides) under Hordeum vulgare. RNAcentral describes it as "tRNA-OTHER". The record is from RNAcentral. Lineage: Eukaryota; Viridiplantae; Streptophyta; Magnoliopsida; Poales; Poaceae.